Molecule: ribosomal RNA, 480 nt
Filed under: uncultured bacterium
Lineage: Bacteria
Description: bacterial SSU rRNA
Rfam family: Bacterial small subunit ribosomal RNA
Source: RNAcentral
GAUGAACGCUAGCGGCAGGCCUAACACAUGCAAGUCGAGGGGCAGCACAGGUAGCAAUACUGGGUGGCGACCGGCGGAUGGGUGCGUAACGCGUAUGCAACCUACCAUUGAUUGGGGCAUAGCCCGAAGGAAUUCGGAUUAAUACUCCAUAAUAUUCAUCAAAGGCAUCUUUUAUGAAUUAAAGCUUUUGCGAUCAAUGAUGGGCAUGCGUGACAUUAGUUAGUUGGUGAGGUAACGGCUCACCAAAACGAUGAUGUCUAGGGGUUCUGAGAGGAUUAUCCCCCAACUGGUACUGAGACACGGACCAGACUCCUACGGGAGCAGCAGUGAGGAAUAUUGGUCAAUGGACGCAAGUCUGAACCAGCCAUGCCGCGUGCAGGAUGACGGCCCUAUGGGUUGUAAACUGCUUUUCCACGGGAAGAACCCUCCGACGUGUCGGAGACUGACGGUACCGUGGGAAUAAGCAUCGGCUAACUCCGU